GUUGUUAUAGUUUAACCAAAACAUUAGAUUGUGGAUCUAAUAACAGAAGUCUACAAUUUCUUAUCUACC
Transfer RNA from Gorilla gorilla gorilla (western lowland gorilla), 69 nucleotides. It matches the Rfam family "tRNA". Rfam says of the family: Transfer RNA (tRNA) molecules are approximately 80 nucleotides in length. Lineage: Eukaryota; Metazoa; Chordata; Mammalia; Primates; Hominidae. The record is from Rfam.